AUGUACUCUGUUCCUUCAGCUCACUGGGUGGCUACGGCGACUUUGUACCUCGAGGGCCAUGCCGCGUUAUGGUUCCGUGCAUACAAGCGUCGCCAUGCCCAGCCAAGUUGGACAACAUUUAUCGCAGCGGUGGUUGACGAAUUUGGUCAGGAGGAGUAUGAGGGACAAAUGUCCAAGUUGCUUCAACUGAAGCAAACAGGCUCUGUUCCUGAAUACAAGGCUGCCUUUGAAUCAUGUAUGUAUCACCUUCUCUCCCUGGAUGAAUCCUUGAGUAGUCGCUGGUUCGUCUCUCAGUUUGUCUUUGGCCUCCGCGACGAGCUACGAGCUGCCGUCCGCCUGCAGGCGCCAUCAAGCGUGACCCGCGCAGCCUCCUUGGCACGCAUACAGGAGGAGGAGGCGGAACACCAGCGACCUCGCACGCGGCCUCCCGCGCCCACCAAACAUCCCACGGUGGGCACUGCACUUCCUCUGGGAUCGGCUGUGGUCCCUGUUGGCGCGCGCCGGGCGGCCACCGACGAAUACACUCGGGAGCGCCAACUCCGGGAUUUUCGUCGUACCAACGGCCUUUGCUUCAAGUGUGGUGACAAGUACUCUAAGGACCAUCAAUGCAAGAAGCCAGCACAUGUCCUGAUGAUUGAAGUUGGGGAGUUUGGUGAAGUUCUAUCUGAUGAUACAGUUCAUGCUCUGAACUUGCUUGAUGGUAGGCCUGAUGCUGCUCCAGCUGCAGAGUGUUGCACAAUCUCGGUUCAUGCUGUCUCAGGUACCGAAGACAAUUCCACUAUUCGCAUAAGAGCAAUGGUUGGCAACCAGGUGAUGUUGUUGUUAGUCGAUUCUGGUAGUUCUCACUCCUUUGUGAAUGCUGCUUUUGCUGAUCGAGCUGGGUGUACAGUCACCAAGAUAUCUCCUAUCAAUGUCAAGGUGGCCAAUGGUCAGGUGAUGAAUUGUAUAUCAGCGGUUGAAGGGCUACAAUGGUGGUCUCAUGGUGCCACAUUUUGUGAUGACAUGCGUGUUCUUGAGCUGGGCGCAUAUGACGCAGUGUUGGGCAUGGAUUGGUUAUCCAAAUGUGGGUUGAUGACUUGUGACUGGGCUGGCAAGGUCUUGCAAUUCAAGCAUCAGGGGGCUGUAGUUACUCUCAAGGGUGUGGCAUCCAAGUCAACUUCUGCCCUACAAGAGAUGAGUGUGGAGCAAUUGGAUAAGUGGAUAUCGGGGAAUGAAGUUUGGGCUAUGGCUGUCAUUGACUCUAUUCCAGCAACAGAAUCUUCCGCAGGCGCAUCUACUCCUGUAGCACCUGAUUUACAAUUGUUGUUAGAUGCCUAUGCAGAUGUGUUUCAGGCACCCAAGUCCUUACCACCCCAUCGUGCCUUGGAUCAUGCAAUUACCCUCGAGAUAGAUGCAAGGCCAAUCAAUACUUGUCCUUAUAGGUAUUCACCUCUUCACAAGGACGAGAUUGAGCGCCAAGUAACUGAGAUGUUGGAAGCUGGGAUAAUUAUACCGUCCAUGAGUCCUUAUGCCUCACCGGUGCUUCUGGUCAAGAAGAAAGAUAAUACAUGGCGUUUUUGUGUGGAUUACCGGCAGUUAAAUGAUGCCACGGUAAAGAACAAAUUUCCCUUACCAAUAGUGGACGAACUCUUGGACGAAUUGGCAGGCACUAAGUUCUUCUCCAAGCUGGAUCUUCGGGCAGGCUAUCAUCAGAUUCGGAUGCGUGAGGAAGAUGAACCCAAGACCGCAUUCAAAACUCACCAUGGCCAUUUCCAGUUUCGAGUUAUGCCAUUUGGUUUGACCAACGCACCAGCUACAUUCCAAUGCGUGAUGAAUUCCAUAUUUGCCAAGCAUCUGCGCAAGUUCCUAAUUGUCUUCCUAGAUGAUAUUCUGAUAUAUAGUGCUUCUUGGGCAGAGCAUCUUGAUCAUCUUCGCCAAGUUCUUGAACUGUUGCGCCAACACCAACUAUUUGCCAAGCUGUCCAAAUGCUCAUUUGGUCAAUCUAGCAUCAACUAUUUGGGACACAUCAUCUCUGAUGCAGGGGUUGCUAAAGAUCCUGAGAAAACUUCUGCAAUGGCUCGGUGGCCUAUUCCAAACACUGUCACUGAAUUGAGGGGAUUUUUGGGCCUCACCAGCUAUUACAGGAAAUUUGUGAAGAACUAUAGUUGGAUAUCAAAGCCUCUUACUCAGCUGCUUACGAAGAAAGGUUUUCAGUGGAAUGAGCAAGCUCAACAAGCAUUUGAGGCUCUGAAGGUAGCUAUGAUCAAUACUCCAGUUCUAGCUCUACCUAACUUCUUCACUUCCUUUACCAUUGAAACCGAUGCUUGUGCAACGGGCGUGGGUGCGGUCCUGACGCAGAAUGGCCAUCCAGUAGCCUAUUUGAGUAAAGCACUUGGUAUCCAGAACAACAAGCUAUCAAUAUAUGAAAAAGAGUUUUUAGCCGUGAUUAUGGCCAUUGAUCGUUGGCGCACAUAUCUGCAAAGAGGACCUUUUGUGAUUCUUACUGAUCACAAGUCCUUAUGCACCUUAACUGAACAACAAUUGGGCACUGAUUUGCAGCGAAAAGCAAUGGCUAAAUUGAUGGGUUUGCAGUUUCAAUUUCGCUAUAGGCGUGGAGUGGACAAUGGUGCAGCUGAUUCUCUCUCUAGGGUUGGGCAUAAAAUGGGAUGCCAAGCGUUGUCAGUUUGUCAACCUGAUUGGAUUCUGGAUGUUACCCGUACUUAUGAAUUGGAUGUUGUUGCGCAAGAUUUACUCGCCCAGCUUGCCAUUCAUUCUCCUAAUGAGAAGGGUUUUUCUCUGGAUAGUGGCCUUAUUAAAUACAAAGGUCGUAUCUACAUAGGUGCGAAUUUAGCAUUGCAAACUCAGUUAAUUGAUGCCCUCCAUAACAGCCCAAUUGGUGGUCAUUCGGGGAUUCAGGCUACAUACCAACGCUUACGCAAGCUAUAUUACUGGGUCGGUAUGAAAGCUGCUGUUGAAAACUUUGUACACCAGUGUCAAGUUUGUCAACAGGCUAAACCUUUGCACACGAAGCCGGCUGGUCUUCUUCAGCCCUUGCCUAUCCCACAACAACCAUGGGAGGAUCUUACUAUGGACUUUAUCGAGAGUUUACCAUUGUCGGAAGGUUAUGACACUAUAUUGGUGGUGAUUGACCGUUUCACUAAAUAUGCCCAUUUUCUACCCCUUCGACAUCCGUUCACUGCAUGUUCUGUAGCAGAAGUGUUCUUGGAUUCUAUUGUCAAACUUCAUGGAGUCCCUCACUCAAUCAUCUCUGAUCGUGAUAAGAUUUUCACCAGUGCCAUGUGGCGUGACAUCUUCAAGGCUGUGGGUUCCAAGCUCAGUUAUAGCACCGCUUAUCACCCUCAAACCGAUGGUCAGAGCGAGCGGGUGAAUCAAUGUGUCGAACAAUAUCUUCGUUGUGCUGUUCAUGACCGACCUGGCAAAUGGAGGUCAUGGUUGCCCAUGGCCGAAUUCUGGUACAAUUCCAGUUUUCAUACUUCUACUGGAUGCUCUCCUUUCAAAGCUCUCUAUGGUAGAGAUCCUAACUUCGGUGGCAUGCCUAAUGUUUCGUUGGCUGUUGAGCAUCUUCCUUCCGGUUUGGCCCUCCCUUCCCAGGAUCAUAUUGAGCAGUUGCGUGCCCAUCUACUCCGUGCACAAGAGCGUAUGAAGAAACAAGCUGAUAAACAUCGUUCUGAGAAGGUGUUUCAGGUGGGCGAUUCUGUGCUCUUGAAGCUGCAACCAUAUGCUCAGUCUUCCAUUGUCAAUCGUCCCUGCCCUAAAUUGGCUUUCAAAUAUUCCGGGCCUUUCAAGAUUGCUACUCGUAUUGGUGCUGUGGCUUAUCGCCUAAUUCUUCCGGAGGGUUGUCAAGUUCACCCGGUGUUUCAUGUUUCCCAGUUGAAAGAAUUCAAUCCAAGUUUUGCUCCUAAUUUUCAGUCUCUGCCACCUCCACAUGUGUUCCAAGAUUGUUCAGCUCAGCCGUGCAUCAUUUUGCAACGAAGGAUCGUUCAAAAAGGUAACGAACCUGUGGUUCAAAUCCUUGUGCAGUGGUCAUCGUUGCCGGAGGAUUGUGCCACCUGGGAGGACUAUUAUGUUCUUUGCCGUCGUUUUCCAACUGCUCCUAUUUGGGACGAGGAUCAUACUGAAGGAGGGGCAAAUGUCAUGCCUUCUUCCGUUGGAACUUAG
Molecule: ribosomal RNA, 4158 nt
Filed under: Triticum aestivum (bread wheat)
Lineage: Eukaryota; Viridiplantae; Streptophyta; Magnoliopsida; Poales; Poaceae
Description: partial small subunit ribosomal RNA
Source: RNAcentral